UNUUUCAGGUUCACUUAGCUGUUUCUACAGG
RNAcentral lists this non-coding RNA (31 nucleotides) under Mus musculus (house mouse). Lineage: Eukaryota; Metazoa; Chordata; Mammalia; Rodentia; Muridae. The record is from RNAcentral.